UCAUUCGGUAACGCCACGGGCCUGCGUGCUAAAUCCCUUUAGAGGUGGUGGAGGUCUUCUAUUACCUGCGAACAAAGGUCAUCGCAGUGGCAAAAAAAUGGAUCUAAUCAUAUCUUUAGAACUAUUGCACUUCAUUGCAAUGUAAUCAACGAUCCUUUGGACUCUCUCUCUUAUGACACCCUUUUCUUGCAACAAACGCACAAUAUACUGGGCCCUAGCUUCCAAAGUUUGUUUAGGUACCCGAUUCUAUUCUUGAAAUCACUGCAAAUCUUCUUUUAGUUGCGUCAUUGUUGUAUAAAAGUGUUCUCUUUUAGCCUUAAAGUUCUUCGCAUGCUUGACCAUUUUGUUCUCAACGGUGAUGACCCUUUUCUUCAAUCUCACAACCUCGUUCUCAUUCAUUUCUUUUAACUGUUUAACUGUUUAACCAUACAUGCUCGUUCCUCCGCAUGAUUAGCCAAUUGCUUUCGGGCCCUGGCUAGUUCACCCCCUGCUUUGUUCAAGUCAAAAUGGUAUUCCCCUACCUUCUGCCUAAGGUUGUUUAUGAGUUUCUCAUCCUUUACACUUCUGGUGGGAUUUUCUGCCGCUAUUUUCAUUCUCAGAAUAUGGGCUAGAAGGGCUUCAUUUUCUUUGGCUAAUUUUCUCUUUUUACCCUCAUCUACCGUGGCUUGCAAACCAUUCUAUAAUUGAAGGUCCUUGAUUUGUCUUUCCAGCUUUCCUAUUGUGACCCUGUACUCAUUUUCCUUGGCCAACCAAGCCCACCGUUCUUGCGGUGCCUCAACGAAUACUUGAAUGUGAAGCUUUUUGGCUAGUCUUUCUGGUUCGACCCUUGCAGUGUUCUUCUUUCUAUACCAAGAAAGAUAGGCGGGUGAGACCUCACCUCUAGAUAGGUCACGCACUCGAGUGUUCAUCGUAAAUUACUGGCACUCGUUCCAAAUAGAAC
RNAcentral lists this long non-coding RNA (940 nucleotides) under Nicotiana benthamiana. Its description in RNAcentral is "long non-coding RNA (NBEN_LNC023194)". The record is from RNAcentral. Lineage: Eukaryota; Viridiplantae; Streptophyta; Magnoliopsida; Solanales; Solanaceae.